This 468-nucleotide ribosomal RNA is filed under the name uncultured bacterium. RNAcentral describes it as "partial 16S ribosomal RNA". It matches the Rfam family "Bacterial small subunit ribosomal RNA", at positions 28 to 507 of the family's 1533-position model. The record is from RNAcentral.
GACGAACGCUGGCGGCGUGCUUAACACAUGCAAGUCGAACGGAAAGGCCCUGCUUUUGUGGGGUGCUCGAGUGGCGAACGGGUGAGUAACACGUGAGUAACCUGCCCUUGACUUUGGGAUAACUUCAGGAAACUGGGGCUAAUAUCGGAUAGGAGCUCCUGCUGCAUGGUGGGGGUUGGAAAGUUUCGGCGGUUGGGGAUGGACUCGCGGGUUAUCAGCUUGUUGGUGGGGUAGUGGCUUACCAAGGCUUUGACGGGUAGCCGGCCUGGGAGGGUGACCGGCCACAUUGGGACUGAGAUACGGACCAGACUCCUACGGGAGGCAGCAGGGGGGAAUAUUACCCAGUGGGCGGGAGCCUGAGACGACGGCGCCGCGUGCGGAAUGACGGCCUUCGGGUUAAAAACCGCUUUCGCCUGUGACGAAGCGUGAGUGACGGUAAUGGGUAAAGAAGCACCGGCUAACUACGUG